This 302-nucleotide unclassified non-coding RNA is filed under the name uncultured Conocybe. Its description in RNAcentral is "sequence contains ITS2". The stretch from base 1 to 52 matches the Rfam family "5.8S ribosomal RNA", at positions 103 to 154 of the family's 154-position model. The record is from RNAcentral. Lineage: Eukaryota; Fungi; Basidiomycota; Agaricomycetes; Agaricales; Bolbitiaceae.
AACGCACCUUGCGCUCCUUGGUAUUCCGAGGAGCAUGCCUGUUUGAGUGUCAUUAAAUUCUCAAUCUUUACAACUUAGUGUUGUCUAGAUUGGAAGUGGGGGCCCCCGUCCUUUGUGUGGAAUCUAAUUCCUCACUCCCCUUAAAUGUAUUAGCUGGAAUGCCUCUGCAUAUCUGACUAUUAGCGUGAUAAUUAUCUAUGCUGUGGUUGUUGCAUGAGGGUAUCUGCUUCAUAAAUCGUCGCAAGACAAUUCUAUAUGACCAUCUUGACCUCAAAUCAGGUAGGACUACCCGCUGAACUUAA